RNAcentral lists this ribosomal RNA (373 nucleotides) under uncultured eukaryote. RNAcentral's name for it is "SSU rRNA". It matches the Rfam family "Eukaryotic small subunit ribosomal RNA", at positions 587 to 972 of the family's 1831-position model. The record is from RNAcentral.
AGCUCCAGUAGCGUAUAUUAAAGUUGUUGCAGUUAAAAAGCUCGUAGUUGGAUUUGUGGCCGGCGCCCGUGGUCCAUAUUGGUACUAACGGGCGCUGCCAUCCUUGGGUGGAACCUGUGUGGCAUUAGGUUGUCGUGCAGGGGAUGCCCAUCGCUUACUGUGAAAAAAUUAGAGUGUUCAAAGCAGGCUUAUGCCGUUGAAUAGAUUAGCAUGGAAUAAUGAGAUAGGACCUUGGUACUAUUUUGUUGGUUUGCGCACCGAGGUAAUGAUUAAUAGGGACGGUUGGGGGUAUUCGUAUUCCAUUGUCAGAGGUGAAAUUCUUGGAUUUCUGGAAGACAAACUACUGCGAAAGCAUUUACCAAGGAUGUUUUCA